CGUGUAGGCGGCCAAGUAAGUCUUACGUGAAAUCCUGAGGCUCAACCUCAGGCCUGCGCGGGAUACUGCUUGGCUAGAGUCCGGAGGAGGAGAGUGGAAUUCCUGGUGUAGCGGUGGAAUGCGCAGAUAUCAGGAGGAACAUCCGUGGCGAAGGCGGCUCUCUGGGACGGUACUGACGCUGAGAGCGAAAGCGUGGGGAGUGAACA
Molecule: ribosomal RNA, 206 nt
Filed under: uncultured bacterium
Lineage: Bacteria
Description: partial 16S ribosomal RNA
Rfam family: Bacterial small subunit ribosomal RNA
Source: RNAcentral